CCUACGGGAGGCAGCAGUAGGGAAUUUUUCACAAUGGGCGAAAGCCUGAUGGAGCAACGCCGCGUGUAGGAUGAAGGCCUUCGGGUUGUAAACUGCUUUUAUAAGCGAGAAAUAUGAUGGUAACUUAUGAAUAAGGAUCGGCUAACUACGUGCCAGCAGCCGCGGUCAUACGUAGGAUCCGAGCAUUAUCCGGAGUGACUGGGUGUAAAGAGUUGCGUAGGUGGCAUAAUAAGUAGCUAGUGAAAUCUGGUGGCUCAACCAUUCAGACUAUUAGCUAAACUGUUAAGCUCGAGACCGUUAGGGGUAACUGGAAUGUCUAGUGUAGGAGUGAAAUCCGUAGAUAUUAGAAGGAACACCAAUAGCGUAGGCAGGUUGCUGGGACGGUUCUGACACUAAGGCACGAAAGCGUAGGGAGCAAACGGGAUUAGAUACCCCUGUAGUC
Molecule: ribosomal RNA, 442 nt
Filed under: uncultured bacterium
Lineage: Bacteria
Description: partial 16S ribosomal RNA
Rfam family: Bacterial small subunit ribosomal RNA
Source: RNAcentral